This 429-nucleotide ribosomal RNA is filed under the name bacterium. RNAcentral's name for it is "partial 16S ribosomal RNA". It matches the Rfam family "Bacterial small subunit ribosomal RNA", at positions 355 to 776 of the family's 1533-position model. The record is from RNAcentral.
UAGGGAAUCUUCGGCAAUGGGGGCAACCCUGACCGAGCAACGCCGCGUGAGUGAAGAAGGUUUUCGGAUCGUAAAGCUCUGUUGUAAGAGAAGAACGUGUGUGAGAGUGGAAAGUUCACACAGUGACGGUAACUUACCAGAAAGGGACGGCUAACUACGUGCCAGCAGCCGCGGUAAUACGUAGGUCCCGAGCGUUGUCCGGAUUUAUUGGGCGUAAAGCGAGCGCAGGCGGUUUAAUAAGUCUGAAGUUAAAGGCAGUGGCUUAACCAUUGUUCGGUUGGGAAACUGUUAAACUUGAGUGCAGAAGGGGAGAGUGGAAUUCCAUGUGUAGCGGUGAAAUGCGUAGAUAUAUGGAGGAACACCGGUGGCGAAAGCGGCUCUCUGGUCUGUAACUGACGCUGAGGCUCGAAAGCGUGGGGAGCAAACAGG